GGAAAUGCUCGAAGCCCUCGAAGGAUUUGGGCGUUGGAAUACAUCGGCGACAGUUCGCAGAAUAUUUAAAGCCGCAAUAACUUGGGUCAGAAGGAGGUCUUGGUGUACCUAUAGCGUCUACGUGACUAAAAGUGAAACUGAAACUGCGCGGGAAGGAAACACAAGUGGCGAAGAAAGCUGAAAAGAAAUAAAUGAGGAAAGACACAAAGCAUCAAAGUUCUCCUUAAUAAGAAUACAAACUAUCUGGUUUUGCACGGGGAACAAACCGGAUAAAAAGGUAAACAUUGAAAGUGCUUUGAAGUAUGAGACCAAUUCGAGCAUGCUCGUAUGCGGACUGGAAUGAUAAACUGAUUUAAAAUAGGAGCUUAGUAGUCUCCCUCGCCAACCUUACUGGUGCUCAAGCGCCACCUAGCGUGACAAGCCAGAAGGGCUGCGAGGUAGACUAACGCUGGUAGAUGUCCCAGGGUCUUCGAACGUCUGAUAACCAGAAGACACUCGAAAUACUUGUCAUCUUAAAAACGAUAACUCCUUGCUUGUUUCCUUUCAAUGCGUAAAUCACAGAAUACGCACUCCUACUUCUACAAAUCCCUCUUUUACCAGCAGCUGCUGGUAGCUCGUUGAGAAAUACUCUUAUACAUACGAGCUCCGCACUUGAGUAGUAAAUCGAUUAGGCUAUCAUGAUUCAUGACACGAGUACUGAAUCCUACGCAAAGGUAAACUUUGGAACGUUCGUGCGCUACAUGUAUCAUUCUACUAGAUAUUUUCUAGGCACGUGUGCGACCAGUGUAGAAUUUAAGUCGCACAAUUUUGGUCGCCCUGAGACAAUGAAACUUUUGUCCAAAUCCCCUUAGUCCGAAUCUUACGCAUACAGCAUGACCUUAUACAUUGUAACAGCUAGUAU
Nematostella vectensis (starlet sea anemone) is the source of this 901-nucleotide long non-coding RNA. RefSeq lists it as uncharacterized. The transcript is spliced from 3 exons. The record is from RefSeq and is a predicted model, not a curated record. Lineage: Eukaryota; Metazoa; Cnidaria; Anthozoa; Actiniaria; Edwardsiidae.